RNAcentral lists this ribosomal RNA (404 nucleotides) under uncultured bacterium. Its description in RNAcentral is "bacterial SSU rRNA". It matches the Rfam family "Bacterial small subunit ribosomal RNA", at positions 355 to 776 of the family's 1533-position model. The record is from RNAcentral.
UGGGGAAUAUUGGACAAUGGGCGCAAGCCUGAUCCAGCCAUGCCGCGUGAGUGAUGAAGGCCUUAGGGUUGUAAAGCUCUUUCAGCGGGGAAGAUAAUGACAUUACCCGCAGAAGAAGCCCCGGCUAACUUCGUGCCAGCAGCCGCGGUAAUACGAAGGGGGCAAGCGUUGUUCGGAAUCACUGGGCGUAAAGCGCGCGUAGGCGGAUCGAUAAGUCAGGGGUGAAAGCCCGAGGCUCAACCUCGGAACUGCCUUUGAUACUGUCGAUCUGGAGUCCGGGAGAGGUGAGUGGAACUCCUAGUGUAGAGGUGAAAUUCGUAGAUAUUAGGAAGAACACCAGUGGCGAAGGCGGCUCACUGGCCCGGUACUGACGCUGAUGUGCGAAAGCGUGGGGAGCAAACAGG